This 301-nucleotide ribosomal RNA is filed under the name uncultured bacterium. Its description in RNAcentral is "partial 16S ribosomal RNA". It matches the Rfam family "Bacterial small subunit ribosomal RNA", at positions 509 to 807 of the family's 1533-position model. The record is from RNAcentral.
CAGCCGCCACGGGAAUACGAAGGGGGCUAGCGUUGUUCGGAAUUACUGGGCGUAAAGGGCGCGUAGGCGGCCAUUCAAGUUAGAUGUGAAAGCCCUGGGCUCAACCUAGGAAUUGCAUUUGAUACUGUUUGGCUUGAGUUCGGGAGAGGUGAGUGGAAUUCCCAGUGUAGAGGUGAAAUUCGUAGAUAUUGGGAAGAACACCAGUGGCGAAGGCGGCUCACUGGACCAUUUCUGACGCUGAUGCACGAAAGCUAGGGGAGCAAACAGGAUUAGAUACCCCUGUAGUCCCUGUCUCUUAUAC